This 759-nucleotide long non-coding RNA is filed under the name Rattus norvegicus (Norway rat). RNAcentral's name for it is "long non-coding RNA NONRATT024194". The record is from RNAcentral. Lineage: Eukaryota; Metazoa; Chordata; Mammalia; Rodentia; Muridae.
UAAAGUGCAACCACUAUUAGUGGAAGGAGGGCUGGAAUAAGUAAUAAUGUUCUUCAUGAUGAUAACGGGCUUUUCCCAGUCCCACUUUUAUGUUCCAAAUCCAUUUUCUCACCCAUAUAGCUCUUGUACAUUUCUCACCGUAAACAUUACCAUCUUCAUUUCCCACCACAAAAGUUCCCCACCAUGUUUACUUCCACCCAGAUAUGUUCCUCGCCAUGUAAUGCACCCCCUCAAAUACAUACCCACAUGGUACCAUCUAUCACAGCCUCUCUCAGCUCACGCAUGCCUCACCUGUUUGUGUUGGAACAUCUUGAUGUGUUUCUUGGGCAAGGAUGACAUAUUUCCUUGUUAACAGGAUCAUGUUCAUCCCCAUAUGUUAGUGAAUUAAAUCUCUUAAUAUAUUUUCUGGUGUUUUACUCUUUAGUGAAAAGCUCUUCGUUUUAUUGGUCAGUGUUUUCCCUAUUGGGAUAUUUAUUUUCUUGCUUAAAUUAUGAAAAAAAAUUGUAUUCUUGGGGCUUUGUCAUUGGGUUUGGAAUAUUCUACAUUUAUUCUAGGUAUACGUUCAUUAUUUUACCAAGCCCUGGCUGUCCUGGAACUCUCUCUGUAGGCUAGACUGCCCUUGAACUCACAGAGAUCUGCCUGUCUCUGCCCUUUGGAGUCCUAAGAUUAAAAGUGCAUUCUUUCACUGCCCAGCAAAAAAAUUAAUUGUUAUGUGAAAUAUAUCCACUUUCUACUUUUUAUAAAUUCAUUAUUUUUUAA